Astatotilapia calliptera (eastern happy) is the source of this 1784-nucleotide long non-coding RNA. Lineage: Eukaryota; Metazoa; Chordata; Actinopteri; Cichliformes; Cichlidae. The record is from Ensembl.
CAAUAUUGUCUCCAUAGCUUGGUUAGCAACACUUUUGUUUGAUUUAACCAAAAUCUUUCCAAGUGAAGAUUCUUUCUACUGAGAUUUGAAGGACUGGGUCAAAUGUGAAAGUGGUCACAAAAACAAGCAUGUUUUUAAAAGGCUUUACAUUGUGCUACAUUUUGUUCACUCUUUGCAGCUGCAGUGUUAUCUGGCUGAUUUCUUCAAUAGUUUGUAAUUUAGAAGCUUUUUCUUUUUCUUUUUUUAAGAACAACAUACAGAAGAAAUAUUCAGAGAAAUAAGAAAAAAUGCUGGAAGAACUUCUCAAGAUCAAAGCCCAGGAAGAUAAAAAAGAGGCUGCAGUUAUUCUUCUGUGUACAGGAAGAGCACAGUUUCCUCUCAGAAUAUUUAGUUUAAGUUUCAGCUCUCAGCAGACGCCAACUUCAGCACCCAAGAUGAAGACCUUCUUCCCAAAAUUUGCCAUCAAACAAUACAGCACGCAGUUUGCAUUGGUCUGCUUUGGGUGUUGUCCGUGUUCAUCGAUGGAGACUGGUUUGUUUGCUGUUGCAAUACGUAUAAAGAACAUCCACAGUUAGGCUGCAAAGACAAAGAAAACAUUACAGCUGAGGAACGAGUCCUGAUUGCGAAGCUGAAAAACAAAUCCAUGCUUAUUGGCUUGGGUGCACUCUUGGUUGGCUUUGUUUUUGUUACCUUUGUGUUACCACUUGGAUGGAAGAAAUGCUGUGAAGAGAGAGAGAAUUGCCCAAGUUGCUGCGACAGAAAACUUCUCUACGACCAAAUGAUUUUGGAAGAGGAAGAAAAUGUACUCACAGAGAUGAUAAGAAAAGCAGCAAAAGAUAAGCUGACCGAAGAAAUGCAGAAGAAACUUGGCAGUGGACAAUGGGGGGAAUGUUUUGAUGUUGCUGAAAAGCUGAUUGAAAACAAAACUCCACAGAAGGAGGACAAACUAAUGGAGGAGUCUGAUUCAGAAAAACGCACAACAGAAAUGUGAGGAAAUUAUCGUCACUGCGACCGUCUUAUCAGAAUUCAGAAGUUUCAUUUUCAGUUUAUCAGAAAAAAAAUAUGUCUGUACGUCACAAGUGAAAGGAAACUAUAGUAAGAUUGUUAUGUUAUGCUUCUAAAUACCAUGUUAUGGUGAUACAUGUAUGUUUCAUAUAUUUCAAAGUUUUUUUUUUUAUGUCACAUGAGGGUAGAUUUUUAAUGGUGCUAUUUUUACGCUAUGAUAUUGUUUGAAUUUCACAAAUGUGAGCAUGUUAUAAGGAGCUUCUACAGAAAGCCUUAGAGUCAUUGUGCAUCACUUGGUAGCUGACAGCUUGUCUCUAUCUUGUAGCCUUUGGUUGGCUUGGGAACACUUUCCCUUUAUAUUUGGAUCAGCUGUAGUCUUCACUCUCCCUCGUGGCCACUUUAUCACUCUGUUAGUUUAGUUUAACUUUUGACCUGCUGGCUUCACACUGACGUUGGCUAUUUUGUUUCUAGUUGCUUUAUGUGUGACCGUCUCUUUAAGCUCAAAUUUUACAAGUAGCCUAUUAAAGACAUUAAUAAGAUAGUUUUCACUGUUCCUGUAACAUUUAAUGCCACCUGUGUAUAAACAACAUGCUCAAAGAAGCUGUGAAGUUUCAGGUUUGACAGAAAUCAUAAAAAUGAAGCUUUUGGGUCUAGAAAGAGAAAAACAGAGAUUUGGAUUUUAAUGUGCUAAGCUGAUAUUUUAAUAAAUACUUUCAAAUGAAAUGCACAAUUUGAACUGUAAUAUGUGUUUCAGUAAAAAUGAAUAAAAAAAACAUGAG